GGCUAACUAAAUGAUUUAAAUUAAACAACACAAUCUUAUAUUAUAAAACAUAAAAAAAAAAAAAAAUUACUCUCCAGCUCUAAACAACACAAUUAGGGCUUUUUCAGCAGUAUCACCGCCGAUGCUACAACACCUCCACCGUCCCGCUUCAACUUGCCCGCGAUUGCUGCGACUGCACCGCGACCUUUACCACCGUGCCGAGAGUGCUGCCGCCGACGCACAAUUGCUUCCACCGACGCACAAUCGCUUCCACCGACGCACAUCCACUUCCACCGUCGCACAUCCGCUUCCAUGGUCGCACAACCGCUUCCGACGCGCCACUAACGCUACCAUUACGAAUUCGAGGCAUAAAUUGGAAUUAGUUAUGUUUCGAUAUCAGCGUUAAAACAGUUUUCCAGAAUCAACUCAAGGAUAUCAAGAAUCAACUCAAGUCAUCUGUCGAGGUCUUGAAAAAUGUUUCAUACAGGUGAGCUAGCAUUGAGCUAGCAUUGAUGUAGAACAUUGUCAAGGAUAAGGCUAUUAAUUGCUAUCAAAAAUAAGGCAGUUAACCCAUUUCGAGUUAUGAAUCGUGGAAAGCGCCAACGCAAAUCUAUCUCACAGGGAGAUGGAGAAUAAGUUCCGUGCGAAGCUUUCGGAUAUCGUGCUCGCAAGAAAGACCAUCAUCAUCUCAUUUUCAUAUUCCACUUAAUGGCGAUGCUGAAUUUAUGGAGUCUGAUAGUGACGCAAAUGAGGCUUCAUCGACGCCACCUAAUAAAAUAUUAUUUAUUUUAGUUAUAAUGUUAUAUUUUUCACAAAAAUAUAACAUUAUAACGGUAUGGGAGGACUUGCCAUGGUUCAGUUGUUGGAAUGGUUUGAUAUAUCUUACGUCAUUUCAAUAUCUUUUCAUAAAUAUAUAAUGAGUUAAUUUUGUUCAGCCUUCUACCUAAUUUCAAAUUUUUAUGGCAGUGAAAACUAUACGAUGAACUUUACAGAUUAGAGGAUUAAGAUCAAAGAUUGGCAGCAAUAAAUGGCCUGCUCUAUUGUAUCGAAAUGUUCUACCUGGUAAAGUUAUUGGAUUGCUAGUGACAAUAUGCUUAUAUCCAGGUAUUCGUUCUUGCUUAAUUUAUUCACGGUAAAAAUAACAUAUAGUAUUUCGUUGGUGUUUUUAUCCAGAGUACAAGCUGUAGCUUUUACAAUAUAAUGCAAGCGCAAGUUCUUACAUUGCAGCUCACUGUUGUCUCUUAUUUUGUAGGUUGUAGUUUAGCAUCGUAAUUGUGGGUUGCAACAUUCUUCGCCGAAUAUCAGAAAAAUUCUCAAAAAAACUUUCUUGAUAUCUCAUUGUCAUCUGUGCCGAACCACCUCUGGGGUUUCAGAUUUUGAUGGUCUUCUGUACAAAAAUUACUUUACUGGGAUUCAUAUUUGAGCAACACUAUAUGGGAUAUAAUUUGAGAUUGCCUGAAAGAUUUCCUUUUUUAGAUUCUAUUAUUUUACGAUCUUCCAGUAAUAUCUGAAGUUGUAUACAACAAAUUUUAUAAGCUUUAAAAACAUGAAUUUUGCUUACUCAGGAACACUAACUUUUUUUUCUUCUUUGAUUGUUCAGGAACACAUUUUACAUUGGAGCAUGGGAGCAAGGACAUUUUGUUGAACUAAGAAUAUGUAGACUUUGAAAGUAAAUGUAUUGUGUAGGUUACUUCAAGUGUUGUUUUGAAGAUAGAUUUUUGGAACUUUGGUAUUGUAUAUUUUUGGAAAGCAAGAAUUCAUGUUUUGGGGAAUCCGAGUGAUUUUUAGCA
Long non-coding RNA from Erythranthe guttata (spotted monkey flower), 1769 nucleotides. RefSeq lists it as uncharacterized. The record is from RefSeq and is a predicted model, not a curated record. NCBI's taxonomy places the organism in Eukaryota, Viridiplantae, Streptophyta, Magnoliopsida, Lamiales, Phrymaceae.